This 115-nucleotide ribosomal RNA is filed under the name Pteropus alecto (black flying fox). Lineage: Eukaryota; Metazoa; Chordata; Mammalia; Chiroptera; Pteropodidae. RNAcentral also lists the same sequence under 1 other name. The record is from RNAcentral.
UAAAACAGGCUACCCUAAACAAGCCCGAUCUUGUCUGAUCUCGGAAGCUAAGCAGGGUCGGGCCUGAUUAGUACUUGGGUGGGAGACCACCUAGGAAGACCACGUGCUGUAGGAA